This is a non-coding RNA of Triticum aestivum (bread wheat), 114 nucleotides long. Lineage: Eukaryota; Viridiplantae; Streptophyta; Magnoliopsida; Poales; Poaceae. The record is from Rfam.
AUUGUACUCCCUCCGUUCGAAAUUACUUGUCGCAGAAAUGGAUGUAUCUAGAUUAUUUUAGUUCUAAAUACAUCCAUUUCCGAGACAAGUAAUUCCGAACGGAGGGAGUAGUAU